GACGAACGCUGGCGGCGUGCCUAAUACAUGCAAGUAGAACGCACAGUUUAUACCGUAGCUUGCUACACCAUAAACUGUGAGUUGCGAACGGGUGAGUAACGCGUAGGUAACCUGCCUGGUAGCGGGGGAUAACUAUUGGAAACGAUAGCUAAUACCGCAUAAUAUUAAUUAUUGCAUGAUAAUUGAUUGAAAGAUGCAAUUGCAUCACUACCAGAUGGACCUGCGUUGUAUUAGCUAGUAGGUGAGGUAACGGCUCACCUAGGCGACGAUACAUAGCCGACCUGAGAGGGUGAUCGGCCACACUGGGACUGAGACACGGCCCAGACUCCUACGGGAGGCAGCAGUAGGGAAUCUUCGGCAAUGGACGAAAGUCUGACCGAGCAACGCCGCGUGAGUGAAGAAGGUUUUCGGAUCGUAAAGCUCUGUUGUAAGAGAAGAACGGGUGUGAGAGUGGAAAGUUCACACUGUGACGGUAUCUUACCAGAAAGAGACGGCUAACUAUGUG
This 505-nucleotide ribosomal RNA is filed under the name uncultured bacterium. RNAcentral describes it as "partial 16S ribosomal RNA". It matches the Rfam family "Bacterial small subunit ribosomal RNA", at positions 28 to 507 of the family's 1533-position model. The record is from RNAcentral.